RNAcentral lists this long non-coding RNA (240 nucleotides) under Phoenix dactylifera (date palm). RNAcentral's name for it is "long non-coding RNA (PDAC_LNC005041)". Lineage: Eukaryota; Viridiplantae; Streptophyta; Magnoliopsida; Arecales; Arecaceae. The record is from RNAcentral.
UUUAUUCUGCUUUUUCAUGUAAUUACUUGAAAAUAACAAAAUAAGAGAGAGAUAAAGAAAAGAAAAUGAACAUUGUUGGAGAGAAGUAAUCCAUUUGCAUUCUUUUAGAAAUUCAAAGUAUAGGGUGUGGUUCUCUCUUCCUCGCUUCCGUCCGCUAUCUGUUGUGUCAUGGCAAAGUUGGACAUCUAUCAGCCUUGCUGAAAAGGAAGCUUUAGCUAACAUAUGAACGUCGAUGGCUAA